This 251-nucleotide ribosomal RNA is filed under the name uncultured bacterium. Its description in RNAcentral is "partial 16S ribosomal RNA". It matches the Rfam family "Bacterial small subunit ribosomal RNA", at positions 30 to 289 of the family's 1533-position model. The record is from RNAcentral.
UUGAACGCUGGCGGCAUGCCUUACACAUGCAAGUCGAACGGUAGAGGGGCAACCCUUGAGAGUGGCGAACGGGUGAGUAAUAUAUCGGAACGUGCCCAGUCGUGGGGAUAACGCAGCGAAAGCUGCGCUAAUACCGCAUACGAUCUAAGGAUGAAAGCGGGGGAUCGCAAGACCUCGCGCGAUUGGAGCGGCCGAUAUCAGAUUAGGUAGUUGGUGGGGUAAAAGCCUACCAAGCCGACGAUCUGUAGCUG